GAUGAACGCUGGCGGCGUGCCUAAUACAUGCCAGUCGAGCGAACGGACGAGAAGCUUGCUUCUCUGAUGUUAGCGGCGGACGGGUGAGUAACACGUGGAUAACCUACCUAUAAGACUGGGAUAACUUCGGGAAGCCGGAGCUAAUACCGGAUAAUAUUUUGAACCGCGUGGUUCAAAAGUGAAAGACGGUCUUGCUGUCACUUAUAGAUGGAUCCGCGCUGCAUUAGCUAGUUGGUAAGGUAACGGCUUACCAAGGCAACGAUGCAUAGCCGACCUGAGAGGGUGAUCGGCCACACUGGAACUGAGACACGGUCCAGACUCCUACGGGAGGCAGCAGUAGGGAAUCUUCCGCAAUGGGCGAAAGCCUGACGGAGCAACGCCGCGUGAGUGAUGAAGGUCUUCGGAUCGUAAAACUCUGUUAUUAGGGAAGAACAUAUGUGUAAGUAACUGUGCACAUCUUGACGGUACCUAAUCAGAAAGCCACGGCUAACUACGUG
Molecule: ribosomal RNA, 497 nt
Filed under: uncultured bacterium
Lineage: Bacteria
Description: partial 16S ribosomal RNA
Rfam family: Bacterial small subunit ribosomal RNA
Source: RNAcentral